This is a long non-coding RNA of Vombatus ursinus (common wombat), 1414 nucleotides long. RefSeq lists it as uncharacterized. NCBI's taxonomy places the organism in Eukaryota, Metazoa, Chordata, Mammalia, Diprotodontia, Vombatidae. The record is from RefSeq and is a predicted model, not a curated record. The transcript is spliced from 4 exons.
GUCAUACAGCUAGCGUCCGAAGCAAGAUGGAGACUUGGGUCUUCCUGACUUUAAGUCCAGCCUUCCCAGAGAGCAGCAUUCCACUGCCUCACAAAAGUGAGAUAGCCGGGCUAGAAACGCUAUUGGCAGAAUGAAUGUCUGAAGUACUCUCAUGAUGCCCUGUGGCUCUAGUCCUGUUACUGUGCAGUUAUAUUCAAAGAAACCAAAUCCUGCAAAGGCUAAAUCUUAAAGCCUGUCUACUGCUGGUCUCACCCAUCUUUCUUUUUAAGGUGGAGCCUCAACGGAUCACUUAGGUAACCCAGAGGGAGGCCAAGCAUGAGAGAGCUCGUGGUCGCACAUAAAGGUAACCAUUGGCUCGGACAAUUCAAGAACAAAUCUAAUAUCUCAGGUCAGAUGGAACUGUCAACUGAUGAAAGAGCAUGGUCUAAUUCCUGGCUUUCCACAGAGAAGCAAAUGAGAUGUCUUGCCGACAGGACUAAAGGAAAAGGAGCUGUCCUCCCAGUGCUACAGCCUCUGAAUGCAAAGCCAGGAAGAUCCUCGACUCCCUUGCACCGAGCUUUUAUGAUCCAGCCCCAUGUUUUCACCUGAUGACAACACCUGGAUAUUUCACAAGCUCCUCAAACUCAACAUGUCCAGAAAGAACCUCAUCCUAUUCCCUCGAACUCACCCCUCCCAGUCACCCAGGGUGGUGGCCUCAGAAUGCUGACUCUUCACACCCCCAUCAUACAAUCAGUGACCAAGCUCUCUCAAUCCCACCUUUCCACUGCCACUGCAGCCAUCCCAGUUCUAGCCCUCAUCUCUUCUCAACUAAGCGGUCUGACCAGACUCUCUCCUGAUCCUCUUACCUUUAAUUCACCCCCUCUAGAUCUAUCCUUUACAUGGAUCCUCUCUGAUGCUCCCAAUAUACCACUAAUCACUUAAUUCUUCUACUAUAAAAAAGACUUCUGUGGCUCCUUCCACCAACUGAACCAAGUGAAAAAGUGCUUACGCUACUGGUCACGCACUUACUCAACAGGGUUCUGCCCUAGCUGCCCCAUCUCGGUUCCACUACUAUUCUUUCACAUAACUUUCUAUUCCAGUCAAGUCAGACUUUACCCUCUGGAACCCCUUCUUGUCCUAUCUCCUCGAGCUUCCAUACCUUGAUCCAAGUCAUCCCCCAUGCUGGGAAUGGACUACCCCAGCCCAAAUCCUGAAUGUUGAAGUCACUCCUUUCCUUCAAAAUGCAAAUGAAGUCCCCACUCCUGCAUGAAGCUUCCCCUGAACUUCCCAAAUGCAAGCAAUUUUCCUCCUCAAAUAGUCCUAUGCCUGGCCAUUUUGUUUGAAUAGCACAUUUUCCCCUUAUACCACCGUCAUCUGUGAACAUAUCUCUUCUCCCCACCUACAUUCCUGCAUUAAACUGUAAACUCCUUGAGAA